UGAUACCAGGGUCAAAAAGUCUUUCACACACAUGAGCUUGCUCAUCAGUGGGUGAAAGACCUUGCGACCCGCCCCGAUAUGAGCAUACGAUAUGCGAAUAUCCUGAUGCUGAUUGCGGGAAUGUGUAACAUGAAGCAAUCAGUAGGUAUCA
RNAcentral lists this small RNA (151 nucleotides) under Eubacterium sp. CAG:38. RNAcentral describes it as "Clostridiales-1 RNA". It matches the Rfam family "Clostridiales-1 RNA". The record is from Rfam by way of RNAcentral. Lineage: Bacteria; Bacillati; Bacillota; Clostridia; Eubacteriales; Eubacteriaceae.